AUUGAACGCUGGCGGCAGGCCUAACACAUGCAAGUCGAACGAGUGGCGGACGGGUGAGUAAUGUCUGGGGAUCUGCCUGAUGGAGGGGGAUAACUACUGGAAACGGUAGCUAAUACCGCAUACCAUCGGAUGUACCCAGAUGGGAUUAGCUUGUCGGUGAGGUAACGGCUCACCUAGGCGACGAUCCCUAGCUGGUCUGAGAGGAUGACCAGCCACACUGGGACUGAGACACGGCCCAGACUCCUACGGGAGGCAGCAGUGGGGAAUAUUGCACAAUGGGCGCAAGCCUGAUGCAGCCAUGCCGCGUGUAUGAAGAAGGCCUUCGGGUUGUAAAGUACUUUCAGUCGGGAGGCGUUACUCGCAGAAGAAGCACCGGCUAACUCCGUGCCAGCAGCCGCGGUAAUAC
RNAcentral lists this ribosomal RNA (406 nucleotides) under uncultured bacterium. RNAcentral describes it as "partial 16S ribosomal RNA". It matches the Rfam family "Bacterial small subunit ribosomal RNA", at positions 30 to 526 of the family's 1533-position model. The record is from RNAcentral.